Molecule: non-coding RNA, 53 nt
Organism: Salmo salar (Atlantic salmon)
Lineage: Eukaryota; Metazoa; Chordata; Actinopteri; Salmoniformes; Salmonidae
Source: Rfam
UUCAUUCACUACUGUAAGUCGCUCUGGAUAAGAGCGUCUGCAAAUGACUGAAA